GUGCACAAUUUGGUAGCACAUAUACUAAAAUUGGAACAAUACAGGGAAGAUUAGCAGGGCCCUGGGCAAAGAUGACACAAAUUCAUGAAACAUUCCAUAUUUUU
RNAcentral lists this small nuclear RNA (104 nucleotides) under Vulpes vulpes (red fox). The record is from RNAcentral. Lineage: Eukaryota; Metazoa; Chordata; Mammalia; Carnivora; Canidae.